Molecule: long non-coding RNA, 1019 nt
Organism: Rosa chinensis
Lineage: Eukaryota; Viridiplantae; Streptophyta; Magnoliopsida; Rosales; Rosaceae
Exons: 2
Source: RefSeq, a predicted model, not a curated record
UUGAGAAUAGUUUAUGGUUUUAUAAGCUAUUGUGGCCCUACCUUCAACAAAAAGCUGACAAAUGCAAUAAGAAAUUGGAUGCGGCUCGCACUCCCAACUUUUCUUUACUGUUCUUAUGGAGAUCCGCAAAUGGAUCUCGUUUUGUAGCCUUUCAUUUCCUUCUUUCUUUUUCUUUCCUUAUCUUUUCCCUUGCUUCUCUCUCUGUUUGAUUUUUUCUGAAUAGAAGAAAAAUUGCAGAGCUAAAGAUAUAGCUGCAAUCUUUCUAGACUUUGUUGAGUUUGUUUGCUAAUCAGAGAAGCUCACUAGUUCAGUAGCUGUCUCUUUGCUUUUGGGAAUUUUUGUUUCAUGAUUAAAAAUAAUCAAUUCAGAGCUUAAAAAAUUUCUGACUUUACCUCAUUUCCUCAGCUAGCAACUGGAGCUUGGGCUUUCAUCUAGAUCUGUGGAGAGUUUUUCAUGCAGUCAAUGAAAUCUUUGAACAGAAAACAGUGAUUUAUAACUGCUUUGAUUUCUGUAAGUGGUGUUAUUGUUCAUAUCAGUCACCGACGCAUCAGAGUAUAUGGAACCAUCUCCUCAAUCCCUCUUCAAUUCAGGUGCGUUAUGCAUAAAAUUCAGUUCUUUCUCUAGGAUUUGUUUGAAAUUCUUCUCGGGUAAGUUUGAUUCUAUUUUCUAAUUUUCAAUUUGCCAUGUAUUGUGAUCUAAUCUAGUAUUUCUUCUGAUGGUUGGUUAAGCUGGAAUUCCUGUCUAUGAUCAGAAACAAUGAGGAGGAUUCCAAUUGAUGUUUGAUUGUUUUUUUUUUUUUUUUAUGGUAAUUGAUGUUUGAUUGUUGCUUCCGGUGAUAUACACUUGUACAGAAACUGACAACAUUGAGAAGGUUUUCAUAUGGAGCAGAAGGGACUUGGACGUGUAGAAGUAGAAGUAGAAGUAGCAGUAGAGGUAGAAGUAAAAUUAUUGAUGUAUUGUAAUUAGUAUGAAAGUUAGUGUUUGAAUUUAAGUGAAUUUGAAAUUGAAUAUCCGAUAAU